GAAAAGAACCCCGGAAGGGGAGUGAAAUAGAACCUGAAACCGUGUGCCUACAACCGAUCGGAGCACGUUAAAGUGUGACGAUGUGCUUUUUGUAGAACGAGCCAGCGAGUUACGCUAUGUAGCAAGGUUAAGUACUUAAGGUAUGGAGCCGAAGGGAAACCGAGUCUGAAAAGGGCGAAAAGUUGCAUGGUGUAGACCCGAAACCGGGUGACCUAUCCAUGGCCAGGUUGAAGCGAGAGUAAAAUCUCGUGGAGGACCGAACCACGUUGGUGUUGAAAAACCAUGGGAUGAGCUGUGGAUAGCGGAGAAAUUCCAAUCGAACUCGGAGAUAGCUGGUUCUCCUCGAAAUAGCUUUAGGGCUAGCGUCGUGUAAUUGAGUAAUGGAGGUAGAGCACUGAAUGGGCUAGGGGCUAUAGUAGUUACCGAACCCUAUCAAACUCCGAAUGCCAUAUACUUGUAUCACGGCAGUCAGACUGCGAAUGAUAAGAUCCGUAGUCAAAAGGGAAACAGCCCAGACCAUCAGCUAAGGUCCCAAAGUGUAAGUUAAGUGGAAAAGGAUGUGGGAUUUCUAAGACAACUAGGAUGUUGGCUUAGAAGCAGCCACUCAUUUAAAGAGUGCGUAAUAGCUCACUAGUCAAGAGAUCCUGCGCCGAAGAUGUCCGGGGCUCAAACUUACCACCGAAGCUAUGGGUGUACACUAUGUGUACGCGGUAGAGGAGCUUUCUGUAUGGGUUGAAGUCGUACCGUAAGGAGCGGUGGACUGUACAGAAGUGAGAAUGCUGGCAUAAGUAGCGAGAAAUAAGUGAGAAUCUUAUUGGCCGAAAACCUAAGGUUUCCUGGGGAAGGUUCGUCCGCCCAGGGUUAGUCGGGACCUAAGCCGAGGCCGAAAGGCGUAGGUGAUGGACAAUCGGUUGAUAUUCCGAUACCGCCUAUUUACGUUUGAGA
Molecule: ribosomal RNA, 945 nt
Filed under: Clostridium sporogenes
Lineage: Bacteria; Bacillati; Bacillota; Clostridia; Eubacteriales; Clostridiaceae
Description: partial 23S ribosomal RNA
Rfam family: Bacterial large subunit ribosomal RNA
Source: RNAcentral